AGAGUUUGAUCAUGGCUCAGGAUGAACGCUGGCGGCGUGCCUAACACAUGCAAGUCGAGCGAUUCUCUUCGGAGAAGAGCGGCGGACGGGUGAGUAACGCGUGGGUAACCUGCCCUGUACACACGGAUAACAUACCGAAAGGUAUGCUAAUACGGGAUAAUGUACUUUUGUCGCAUGGCAGAAGUAUCAAAGCUCCGGCGGUACAGGAUGGACCCGCGUCUGAUUAGCUAGUUGGAGAGGUAAUGGCUCACCAAGGCAACGAUCAGUAGCCGACCUGAGAGGGUGAUCGGCCACAUUGGAACUGAGACACGGUCCAAACUCCUACGGGAGGCAGCAGUGGGGAAUAUUGCACAAUGGGCGAAAGCCUGAUGCAGCAACGCCGCGUGAGCGAUGAAGGCCUUCGGGUCGUAAAGCUCUGUCCUCAAGGAAGAUAAUGACGGUACUUGAGGAGGAAGCCCCGGCUAACUACGUGCCAGCAGCCGCGGUAAUACGUAGGGGGCUAGCGUUAUCCGGAAUUACUGGGCGUAAAGGGUGCGUAGGUGGUUUCUUAAGUCAGAGGUGAAAGGCUACGGCUCAACCGUAGUAAGCCUUUGAAACUGAGAAACUUGAGUGCAGGAGAGGAGAGUAGAAUUCCUAGUGUAGCGGUGAAAUGCGUAGAUAUUAGGAGGAAUACCAGUUGCGAAGGCGGCUCUCUGGACUGUAACUGACACUGAGGCACGAAAGCGUGGGGAGCAAACAGGAUUAGAUACCCUGGUAGUCCACGCCGUAAACGAUGAGUACUAGGUGUCGGGGGUUACCCCCCUCGGUGCCGCAGCUAACGCAUUAAGUACUCCGCCUGGGAAGUACGCUCGCAAGAGUGAAACUCAAAUGAAUUGAC
RNAcentral lists this ribosomal RNA (877 nucleotides) under uncultured bacterium. RNAcentral's name for it is "bacterial SSU rRNA". It matches the Rfam family "Bacterial small subunit ribosomal RNA", at positions 8 to 914 of the family's 1533-position model. The record is from RNAcentral.